RNAcentral lists this ribosomal RNA (423 nucleotides) under uncultured bacterium. RNAcentral describes it as "partial 16S ribosomal RNA". It matches the Rfam family "Bacterial small subunit ribosomal RNA", at positions 359 to 774 of the family's 1533-position model. The record is from RNAcentral.
GAAUUUUGGACAAUGGGCGAAAGCCUGAUCCAGCAAUGCCGCGUGCAGGAUGAAGGCCUUCGGGUUGUAAACUGCUUUUGUACGGAACGAAAAGCUUUGGGUUAAUACCCCGGAGCCAUGACGGUACCGUAAGAAUAAGAACCGGAUAACUACGUUCCAGCAGCAGCGGGAAUACGUAGGGUGCAAGCGUUAACCGGAAUUACUGGGCUUAAAGCGUUCGCAGGCGGUUUUGUAAGACAGAGGUGAAAUACCCGGGCUCAACCUGGGAACUGCCUUUGUGACUGCAAGGCUAGAGUACGGCAGAGGGGGGUGGAAUUCCGCGUGUAGCAGUGAAAUGCGUAGAUAUGCGGAGGAACACCGAUGGCGAAGGCAACCCCCUGGGCCUGUACUGACGCUCAUGCACGAAAGCGUGGGGAGCAAACA